UACAGAGGGUGCAAGCGUUAAUCGGACUUACUGGGCGUAAAGGGCGCGUAGGUGGAUACUUAAGUUGUGGGUGAAAAUCUUGGGCUUAACCUAAGACUUGCCUGCGAAACUGGGUAUCUUGAGUACAGUAGAGGGAAGUGGAAUUUCCGGUGUAGCGGUGAAAUGCGUAGAGAUCGGAAGGAACACCAGUGGCGAAGGCGGCUUCCUGGACUGAUACUGACACUGAGGCGCGAAAGCGUGGGUAGCAAACAGG
RNAcentral lists this unclassified non-coding RNA (253 nucleotides) under uncultured Gammaproteobacteria bacterium. RNAcentral's name for it is "contains 16S-23S intergenic spacer region". It matches the Rfam family "Bacterial small subunit ribosomal RNA", at positions 524 to 776 of the family's 1533-position model. Lineage: Bacteria; Pseudomonadati; Pseudomonadota; Gammaproteobacteria. The record is from RNAcentral.